Dreissena polymorpha is the source of this 813-nucleotide long non-coding RNA. RefSeq lists it as uncharacterized. NCBI's taxonomy places the organism in Eukaryota, Metazoa, Mollusca, Bivalvia, Myida, Dreissenidae. The record is from RefSeq and is a predicted model, not a curated record. The transcript is spliced from 2 exons.
UUGCCACUGGCUCCCCGCGAAUAUCUGACCUGGGAUGACCCCAAUGCUCCGUACAGAAGGGUACUUUGCUCUAAAGAACUUAAUGAUCUACAUGAUGACGUUGCAAAUCCGACCGUUCAUACGUCCGCGCCGAAAAAUCGUCAUCAAUUCGACGAGGUUGAAGGAAAAGUAGUUCCCAAUGGGAGGCAGUCACCGUAUGAAGCUUCUGAAUAUGCGCGCCUAGAGUCCAGUCAGCGCGAAGCCAGGAGACUUAAUACAUACAAGCUGUUCCCAACUUUAAAAGGUACCGAGGAACAUCAAACAGAAGAGCAACAAUCGAUGCGAGAAUAAAUUAUCGCAGUCUACAAGUUGGUUGUAAAAUUCGUCUCCAGUACACUGUGAUUGCAUGCUUAUUUCAGAAGACAUAUACAUUAUAUAUACAUGUACUUGUGCAAACGACGAUACCUUAGAACUGUGUGUUUCCCGUAUAUCAUUGAACCCAUUUAUGCCUAGUGAACUCUCCCAUCCUUCUAAAUUGGAUCAAUUUAUUUACAAAAUUAGAGAUGUCUAAUAUAUUUAUUUCUAUAUUUAGAAUAUUUCUUACAGAAAUUCCUUCAAGCAAACAGCGCAGACCCUGAUAAGAAGCAGCAUCAUGCGGCGUCUCAUCUGGGUCUGCGCUGUUUGCCACGGCCUUUUUUUCUAGACGGAGGGCAUAAAUGGGUUAGUGAAGACAGGCCUUAAAUGAGGUAUUUUUUAUUGGUUGUCAGAGUUUAUGAUUUUUACAUUUUACAUUAGCAUUUGCUUCAAAAUUUAAUUUAAGAUUCUAGAAUUAAG